GAUGAACGCUAGCGGCAGGCUUAAUACAUGCAAGUCGAGGGGCAGCACGGUUAGCAAUAACUGGUGGCGACCGGCGCACGGGUGCGUAACACGUAUACAAUCUACCUUAAACAGGGGGAUAGCCUUUCGAAAGAGAGAUUAAUACCCCGUAAUAAAUUGAACGGCAUCGUUUGAUUUUGAAAGCUCCGGCGGUUUGAGAUGAGUAUGCGUCUGAUUAGCUAGUUGGUGAGGUAACGGCUCACCAAGGCGACGAUCAGUAGGGGAUCUGAGAGGACUAACCCCCCACACUGGUACUGAGACACGGACCAGACUCCUACGGGAGGCAGCAGUAAGGAAUAUUGGUCAAUGGAGGCAACUCUGAACCAGCCAUGCCGCGUGCAGGAUGACGGCCCUAUGGGUUGUAAACUGCUUUUAUACAAGAAGAAACGACCCUUGCGAGGGGCAUUGACGGUACUGUAUGAAUAAGCACCGGCUAACUCCGUGCCAGCAGCCGCGGUAAU
RNAcentral lists this ribosomal RNA (500 nucleotides) under uncultured bacterium. Its description in RNAcentral is "bacterial SSU rRNA". It matches the Rfam family "Bacterial small subunit ribosomal RNA", at positions 28 to 524 of the family's 1533-position model. The record is from RNAcentral.